AUUGAACGCUGGCGGCAGGCCUAACACAUGCAAGUCGAGCGGCAGCGGGAGAGUAGCUUGCUACUUUUGCCGGCGAGCGGCGGACGGGUGAGUAAUGCCUGGGAAAUUGCCCAGUCGAGGGGGAUAACAGUUGGAAACGACUGCUAAUACCGCAUACGCCCUACGGGGGAAAGCAGGGGACCUUCGGGCCUUGCGCGAUUGGAUAUGCCCAGGUGGGAUUAGCUAGUUGGUGAGGUAAUGGCUCACCAAGGCGACGAUCCCUAGCUGGUCUGAGAGGAUGAUCAGCAACACUGGAACUGAGACACGGUCCAGACUCCUACGGGAGGCAGCAGUGGGGAAUAUUGCACAAUGGGGGAAACCCUGAUGCAGCCAUGCCGCGUGUGUGAAGAAGGCCUUCGGGUUGUAAAGCACUUUCAGCGAGGAGGAAAGGUUGAUGCCUAAUACGUAUCAACUGUGACGUUACUCGCAGAAGAAGCACCGGCUAACUACGUGCCAGCCGCCGCAGUAA
Molecule: ribosomal RNA, 508 nt
Filed under: uncultured bacterium
Lineage: Bacteria
Description: partial 16S ribosomal RNA
Rfam family: Bacterial small subunit ribosomal RNA
Source: RNAcentral